Molecule: ribosomal RNA, 236 nt
Filed under: uncultured bacterium
Lineage: Bacteria
Description: partial 16S ribosomal RNA
Rfam family: Bacterial small subunit ribosomal RNA
Source: RNAcentral
GCAAGUCGAACGGAACUAAUUGGAGCUUGCUCCGGUUGGUUUAGUGGCAAACGGGUGAGUAACACGUGGGAAUCUACCCAUCAGUACGGAACAACAUUUGGAAACAGAUGCUAAUACCGUAUAUUCUCUUCGGAGGAAAGAUUUAUCGCUGAUGGAUGAGCCCGCGUUAGAUUAGGUAGUUGGUAGGGUAAUGGCCUACCAAGCCUACGAUCUAUAGCUGGUCUGAGAGGAUGAUC